UCUGGUUGAUCCUGCCAGUAGUCAUAUGCUUGUCUCAAAGAUUAAGCCAUGCAUGUCUAAGUAUAAAUAGUAUACAGUGAAACUGCGAAUGGCUCAUUAAAACAGUUAUAGUUUAUUUGAUAAUGGAAGGCUACAUGGAUAAUUGUGGUAAUUUUAGAGCUAAUACAUGCUGUCAAGCCCGACUUUUUGGAAGGGUUGUAUUUAUUAGAUAUGAAGCCAAUAUUUUUUUGGGUUUAUUGUGGUGAAUCAUAGUAACUGAUCGAAUCCCAGCUUUGGGAUAAAUCAUUCAAGUUUCUGCCCUAUCAGCUUUCGAUGGUAGUGUAUUGGACUACCAUGGCAGUCACGGGUAACGGAGAAUUAGGGUUCGGUUCCGGAGAGGGAGCCUGAGAAACGGCUACCACAUCUAAGGAAGGCAGCAGGCGCGUAAAUUACCCAAUCCUGACUCAGGGAGGUAGUGACGAGAAAUAACAACUCGGGGGACAUCUGUCCUUACGGGAUUGCAAUGAGAACAAUUUAAAGCUCUUAGCGAGGAACAAUUGGAGGGCAAGUCUGGUGCCAGCAGCCGCGGUAAUUCCAGCUCCAAUAGCGUAUAUUAAAGUUGUUGCAGUUAAAAAGCUCGUAGUUGAACUUAUGGCGGGGCGCAAGCGUGGCUUCGGUCAGUUUGUGCUUCGUCAUCCGUCUGCAAACGUCGAACGUCCUUCAUUGGUCGGCGGCGGGAGUAGGCAUUUUACUUUGAAAAAAUUAGAGUGUUUCAGGCAGGCAAUUGCCCGAAUACAUUAGCAUGGAAUAAUGGAAUAGGACCUUUGUCCAUUUGGUUGGCUAUUGGACUUAAGUAAUGAUUAAUAGGGACAGUUGGGGGCAUUAGUAUUUAAUUGUCAGAGGUGAAAUUCUUGGAUUUAUUAAAGACUAACUUAUGCGAAAGCAUUUGCCAAGGAUGUUUUCAUUAAUCAAGAACGAAAGUUAGGGGAUCAAAGACGAUCAGAUACCGUCCUAGUCUUAACUAUAAACUAUACCGACUCGGGAUCGGGGGGUUAAUUAAGGCCCUUCGGCACCGUAUGAGAAAUCAAAGUCUUUGGGUUCUGGGGGGAGUAUGGUUGUAAGGCUGAAACUUAAAGGAAUUGACGGAAGGGCACCACCAGGAGUGGAGCCUGCGGCUUAAUUUGACCCAACACGGGAAAACUUACCAGGUCAAAAUAUGGGUGGGAAUGACAGA
Molecule: ribosomal RNA, 1213 nt
Filed under: metagenome
Description: SSU rRNA
Rfam family: Eukaryotic small subunit ribosomal RNA
Source: RNAcentral